AUUUCAAGUCAAUAACUUUCCACUUUUAUAUAUAUACACCAAAUAAAUAAAUAAAUAAAUAAAUAUAUAUAUAUAUAUAUAGAGAGAGAGAGAGUCCGGCUAUUAUACUUUUAUGAGUAUAUUGGCUCUCUUAUACUUAAAAAUUUCGGCCUUUAGAUUUAUUUUAUUAAUCAUUUCCACCCGUUACAUCAUACUAUUCAACAAACUACCCACUCAACCCUAGUAGGGGAUCAUUAUUAUUCUAAGUGAGGACCACCAUCAACCUAACCAUACAUCCCACAAUCAACAGUUAAAAAUUCAUGAGUACAAGAAGGACUAUACUCAUAAGAGUACAGUAGCUCCAACUUAUAUAUAUGAUAAUGGGGAAUAUAGAAUUGAGCUAGAGUACUUUUAGAAGUAUCAUCUUUUUGGUGCGUCUAAAUUUUUAGCCCUUGGAUCUUCUCCUUGAUUACUAAUAGCCUUUAGAUCAAGCACUAUUCGACCUACCACCACCUAUCGCCACCUACCACCAUCAUCUCAACUCUAUAUCUCUCCAUCCAAAAGCUAAAAACUCAAAAGCACCACCCCUUUAGUGCUUUUGGAAGUAUUCUAGCCCAACUCUGAUAAUGACUAUGAUAAUGGUGUUUCUUUUCAAUAUUUUUUCUAUUGAAUCCAGAGU
Molecule: long non-coding RNA, 658 nt
Filed under: Ananas comosus (pineapple)
Lineage: Eukaryota; Viridiplantae; Streptophyta; Magnoliopsida; Poales; Bromeliaceae
Description: long non-coding RNA (ACOM_LNC022898)
Source: RNAcentral